This 1387-nucleotide ribosomal RNA is filed under the name uncultured bacterium. Its description in RNAcentral is "bacterial SSU rRNA". It matches the Rfam family "Bacterial small subunit ribosomal RNA". The record is from RNAcentral.
AGAGUUUGAUCCUGGCUCAGGAUGAACGCUGGCGGCGUGCUUAACACAUGCAAGUCGAACGAAGCACUUUAUUUGAUUUCUUCGGAAUGAAGAUUUUGUGACUGAGUGGCGGACGGGUGAGUAACGCGUGGGUAACCUGCCUCAUACAGGGGGAUAACAGUUGGAAACCACUGCUAAUACCGCAUAAGCGCACAGGGUCGCAUGACCUGGUGAGAAAAACUCCGGGGGUAUGAGAUGGACCCGCGUCUGAUUAGCCAGUUGGUGGGGUAACGGCCUACCAAAGCAACGAUCAGUAGCCGACCUGAGAGGGUGACCGGCCACAUUGGGACUGAAACACGGCCCACACUCCUACGGGAGGCAGCAGUGGGGAAUAUUGCACAAUGGAGGGAAACCCUGAUGCAGCGACGCCGCUUGAGCGAAGAAGUAUUUCUGUAUGUAAAGCUCUAUCACCAGGGAAGAAGAAAUGACGGUACCUGACUAAGAAGCACCGUCUAAAUACUUGCCAGCAGCCGCGGUAAUACGUAUGGUGCAAGCGUUAUCCGGAUUUACUGGGUGUAAAGGGAGCGCAGGCGGUACGGCAAGUCUGAUGUGAAAGCCCGGGGCUCAUCCCCGGUACUGCAUUGUAAACUGUCGGACUAGAGUGUCGGAGGGGUAAGUGGAAUUCUUAGUGUAGCGGUGAAAUGAGUAGAUAUUAUGAGGAACACCAGUGGUGAAGGCGGCUUAUUGGCCGGUAAUUUACGUUGAGGCUGCAAAGCGUGGGGAGCAACCAGCAUUAGAUACCCCGGUAGUCCUCCCCGCAAACGAUGAAUACUAGGUGUCGGGUGGCAGAGCCAUUCGGUGCCGUCGCAAACGCAGUAAGUAAUCCACGUGGGGAGUACGACCGCAAGGUUGAAACUCAAGGGAAUUGACGGGGGCCCGCACAAGCAGUGGAGUAUGUGGUUUAAUUUGACGCAACGCGCAGAACCUUACCAAGUCUUGACAUCCUGCGUACGAUGCUGGAAACAGUAUUUUCCUUCGGGACGCAGAGACAGGUGGUGCAUGGUUGUCGUCAGCUCGUGUCGUGAGAUGUUGGGUUAAGUCCCGCAACGAGCGCAACCCUUACUGUCAGUUACUACGCAAGAGGACUUUGGCAGGACUGCCGUUGACAAAACGGAGGAAGGUGGGGAUGACGUCAAAUCAUCAUGCCCCUUAUGAUUUGGGCUACACACGUAGUACAAUGGCGUUAAACAAAGAGAAGCAAGCCCGCGAGGUGGAGCAAAACUCAGAAACAACGUCCCAGUUCGGACUGCAGGCUGCAACUCCCUUGCAGGAAGUCGGAAUUGUUAGUAAUCGUGGAUCAGCAUGCCACGGUGAAUACGUUCCCGGGCCUUGCACUCACCGCCCGUCA